Molecule: ribosomal RNA, 485 nt
Filed under: uncultured bacterium
Lineage: Bacteria
Description: partial 16S ribosomal RNA
Rfam family: Bacterial small subunit ribosomal RNA
Source: RNAcentral
AGUGAACGCUGGCGGCGUGCUUAACACAUGCAAGUCGAACGAGAACGGGAUAUAGCUUGCUAUAUUUGUCAGCUAAGUGGCACACGGGUGAGUAAUGUAUAGAUAACCUGCCCUCUAGAAAGGAAUAACAGUUGGAAACGACUGCUAAUGCCCUAUAUGCCUUUAAUACAUAAGUAUGCAAGGGAAACGCUUUAGUGCUAGAGGAUGGGUCUGUAUGGUAUCAGCUUGUUGGUGAGGUAAUGGCUCACCAAGGCUAUGACGCCUAACUGGUUUGAGAGGAUGAUCAGUCACAAUGGAACUGAGACACGGUCCAGACUCCUACGGGAGGCAGCAGUGGGGAAUAUUGCACAAUGGACGAAAGUCUGAUGCAGCAACGCCGCGUGGAGGAUGACACAUUUCGGUGCGUAAACUCCUUUUAUAUAGGAAGAUAAUGACGGUACUAUAUGAAUAAGCACCGGCUAACUCCGUGCCAGCCGCCGCGGUAA